This 21-nucleotide unclassified non-coding RNA is filed under the name Mus musculus (house mouse). RNAcentral describes it as "oocyte_clustered_small_RNA14319". The record is from RNAcentral. Lineage: Eukaryota; Metazoa; Chordata; Mammalia; Rodentia; Muridae.
UGUCAGUCCCAAUACUGCAGG